Molecule: ribosomal RNA, 429 nt
Filed under: bacterium
Lineage: Bacteria
Description: partial 16S ribosomal RNA
Rfam family: Bacterial small subunit ribosomal RNA
Source: RNAcentral
UGGGGAAUCUUGCGCAAUGCGCGAAAGCGUGACGCAGCAACGCCGCGUGGGGGAAGAAGGCCUUCGGGUUGUAAACCCCUUUCAGGAGGGACGAAGGUUGGGCGGUUAAUAGCCGACCUGACUGACGGUACCUCCAGAAGAAGCCCCGGCUAACUACGUGCCAGCAGCCGCGGUAAUACGUAGGGGGCAAGCGUUGUCCGGAAUCAUUGGGCGUAAAGAGCGUGUAGGCGGUUCGGUAAGUCGGCUGUGAAAGUCCAGGGCUCAACCCUGGGAUGCCGGUCGAUACUGCCGGACUAGAGUUCGGAAGAGGCGAGUGGAAUUCCCGGUGUAGCGGUGAAAUGCGCAGAUAUCGGGAGGAACACCUAUGGCGAAGGCAGCUCGCUGGGACGUUACUGACGCUGAGACGCGAAAGCGUGGGGAGCAAACAGG